GAUUUAGAUUCAACACAAUACUCAUAGAAAUCCCCAUAACUUUUUGUUAAAGAAACAAAAAACAGGCCAGUCACGGUGGCUCACGCCCAUAAUCUCAGCACUUCGGGAGGUAGAGGUGGGUGAAUCAUAAGAUCAGAAAAUCGAGACCAUCCAGGCUAACACAGCGAAACCCAGUCUCUACUAAAAAUACAAAAAAUUAUCCAGGUGUGGUGGCAUGCACCUGUAGUCCCAGCUAGUCAGGAGACUGAGGCAGGAGGAUCGCUUGAACCUGGGAGGCGGAGGUUGUAGUGAGUCAAGAUCAUGCCACUGCACUCCAACCUGGAUGACAGAGCAAGAGACUCCAUCUCAAAAACAAAAACAAAAAAAAGAAAAAAGAAAGAAAGAAUAGAAAUGAAAACACAGGCUGGGAAAAGUGGCUCCCGUCUGUUGGCCAGGCUGUUCUCAAACUCUUAACCUCCAGUGACCUACCAGUCUUGGCCUCUCAAAGUGCUGGCAUUGCAGGCGUGAGCCACAGUGCCCAGCCCAGUCCUCUUAACAUAAACAGUUUAAUGUCAAUUAAUGCUUAAACUCAAUGUUAAGUCAACUCAAACUCAGGUCAGUGCUCAUUUAACUGUAAUGUCAAUUAAUGCUUGAUGGCUUGCUAUACUAAUGGCAUUUGAAACAACUGUCUCCAAAAGGAAUUGUCUGAUGGUCUGCAAGGAGUGAUCUCGGACUGAAGACCUUACCACACUGAUGACAUUUGUAAGAUUUCUGUCCAGCAUGGAUUCUCUGAUGUCUAUUGAGGUGUGAAUGUGAAGUAAACGCUUUGCCACAAUCAUCACACUUGUGAGUUUCUCUCCUGUAUGAAUUCUAUGUUUUGCAUAGGAUGAAGCUUGACUGAAG
This 882-nucleotide long non-coding RNA is filed under the name Homo sapiens (human). RNAcentral's name for it is "non-protein coding lnc-ERVV-1-2:2". Lineage: Eukaryota; Metazoa; Chordata; Mammalia; Primates; Hominidae. The record is from RNAcentral.